ACUCUCCUUCUUCCUCCCUCCUUAAUCUCAUCGAUGUCUCAGAGCAAUGAAUGUACCGUUUCAGAUUGCGAAAAUAUUCAUCCACAUACAAAGCUUCAAAUCUAAUUAUUAGAAACACAAAAAAGUAUACCAAACAUCCACUCCAGCCGUUUCAUAUUCUUUUGUUUUGGCUUAAGCUUCGAGCCGUUUCAGAAACUUCUCAAUCUAAUCCUAUAUAAAUACUAUCACAUCAACAGAUUGUGUAGUAAGAAGAAUUCAAUCGAGUAUUUAUCAUGCUAAGAAGUGUCGACAUGUCAUAGAAGAGCAAGAUUCUUCAUGUGAGAUAGAUUACCUCGACCUUGGCAGUUCACAUAACCAAGAGAUCUGACAUUCUCAGGGCCUUUGAGUCUUACCUUGGAGGCUGAAACAUCACCAACAAUCACUACUGGGAAGUUCUGUGUUGAGCUUGCUUUUGAUGAUGGCAAAGAUAGCGUCACAUUUGUUGUCUUCGAUAAGGAGAUGACAAAACUUACCAAACAAGAAGCUGUUGUUCUUACCCUAGAGGAGGGCUCAAACAGUGGAGAGGAGGAUCUCCCAAGUUGUCUUGAAGAGCUAACAUGGAAGGAGUUUGUGUUUCAGAUCCGUGACACACCUUUCAACUUCACACCCAGCCACCGUACAUUCACUGUUUCCACCAUCACUGAAGAUAUCACCAUAGAGAACCAUGGCUAGGAACACGGUAAGAACAUUCUUCCAAGUGAAGGUACUGUAGGAUUGGCAGCAUCGCCUUUGGGGCCGUCUGUUUUGGGAGACAAAGAUCGGUGAGGAAAGUGCUGCCGCAGAUCCUCCAGAGAUUUCAGACGCUCAUAACAAACGCAAGCGCCCCCGUGAGUGAUUGGGAAUAUCAAUACCUAUUGGCCCGUCAACCGUUCUAUCUAUGUUUUCAAAAACUGCUACUAGCUUUGUUUCCAUUAUCAACUUUGGAUGUUUUUCUUUUAUUGUUUUCUUCUGAACGGAUAUUUUAUCUCUGUUUUGGAAUAUUAAUGAAUCUUUGAUGGAUUUAUUCAAAACUUAAAA
Raphanus sativus (radish) is the source of this 1056-nucleotide long non-coding RNA. RefSeq lists it as uncharacterized. The record is from RefSeq and is a predicted model, not a curated record. The transcript has 5 exons. Lineage: Eukaryota; Viridiplantae; Streptophyta; Magnoliopsida; Brassicales; Brassicaceae.